UUGAGAACACUGAUUACAUUCUGAAAGUACACUGCUUAUUCCUGUGCUCAUAGUUCAAUGUCUCUAGAUUAUAGGCAUUAUGAGGACAGAGUACUGGUUUAACACAAAAUUCCUGGGACAUAGAACACUGCCCAGCACAAAUAAUGAUUUGAUCAAUAAUUGUUGAAGGAAUAGACUAAAUGAAGGAACUGACAACUCAAGGGAAAGAGUAAUGACUCCAUGAAAGAGCCAAAAAAGAAGAAAAAAAGUGUUAUGUUGCUAGGAGGGACCACAUAAUGACAAUAACUGGAAAGUAUUUAGUACUUACAAGCAUUUUGACAUAUCAUCGUAUUUGCUUAUCUCACCAGCUUGCCAGAUGAGGAGGAAAACAAAUGGUAUUCCAACUCAACGAAUGAGGAAACAAAACCUCAGAGAGGUUAAUGACUACAUAUAGAUCUAGACCUGUGUGACCUUCCCAACACCCAGGAGAGACAGACACAGUCACAUCCCCACUUACAGAUGAAGACUUCAGGACGCAGAGCGGUGGAGGGACUUGCCCGAGUCCUGGAGCUGGGAGAACUCCCGAGACCCUGGGAUGGUCUCAUGGCCCCUGCACCUCCGCUGCCUCCCCCAUGGUGAAAGUACAGCACAGGCGGGGCUGCGAGAGAGCAGCGGAGAGAUUAUGCAGUAGCUAUCUUUGGAGGCGUCGCUGCCCACGGUGUUUUUAGGAUGAAUAAUUGCUUGAAUUCCUCAAGGCUUUAUAAAUAGAUGGAGAGGUAAUUAUACACAGCAGGAC
Pan troglodytes (chimpanzee) is the source of this 775-nucleotide long non-coding RNA. RefSeq lists it as uncharacterized. The transcript is spliced from 3 exons. Lineage: Eukaryota; Metazoa; Chordata; Mammalia; Primates; Hominidae. The record is from RefSeq and is a predicted model, not a curated record.